UUUUUUUUUUUAUAAAAUAAUCCUCUAAAAUUUUAUAAUUUGCGAAAUAAUUCUAUCAAAUUUAUAUUUAGCAAACUAAUCCUCUUUUCAUCGUAUAGGAGCCACGUGGGAUUUUUUUGAAAAGCAGUGAACCGUUCAUCGCAUUCUACCUUCUUUUAAAGAUGGUGAAUCAUUUUUUACAUUCUCCAAUUUUUUUUAAAAAUGGUGAAUUGUUCAUCCCUUUCUUCUAUUUAUUUUAAAAACGAUGAAUCGUUCGCCGCAUGGGCAAGGACGAAGCUAGAAAUUAAGAUUCGGGGGGGCCAAGGUUUAGAUUUGAUAGAAAAAAAAUUUGACCUCGGAUAGUAAGAAAAAAAAUUUGUCAAAUUCACUGAUCAGUUAUUACUAGCAAUAAUAAUGAUAAUAUGCUCAAAGAGGAACAAAACUAUAUGAGUUGAAGGGAAAGGACCAAGAAAUUCGGGAAAAAAAAUUGAGACACAAAUUUUAUUAAAAAAAUUAAUUUGGCCCCCUAAAAUUAAAUUUUAUAAUAUUUUAAUUUUUAUUAUACAGGAUUUUUAUAUAAUUUUAAAAAAUUGGGGAGGGUGGGCCAUGGCCACUAUGGACUCCUCAAUGAUUCCGCCCCUGCGCAUGGGAUAUAAAAAGAAACAAUAAAUAAGCGAAAGGCGGUGAAUCAUUCACCGUCUUUGUGAAAAAUAAAGAAGUGAUUCAUCGCCUUUAGUAAGAUAGUAAACGAUUUACCGCCUUUAUAACAAAUAUCCGCCCCCGAAGAAAGGUUAAUUUUAUAAAAAAGAGACUUUUGAGAGGGUUAUUUU
RNAcentral lists this long non-coding RNA (809 nucleotides) under Ananas comosus (pineapple). Its description in RNAcentral is "long non-coding RNA (ACOM_LNC009591)". Lineage: Eukaryota; Viridiplantae; Streptophyta; Magnoliopsida; Poales; Bromeliaceae. The record is from RNAcentral.